UCAGUUUCUUUGACUUUCAUUUAAUUCAUUGAAUAAAAAUUAACAACAAAAGCAGAAAUGCAAGAUCAGAAAAGCUAAUAUUCUCUUCACUUUUAGGUUUUAGCUGUGGUUAUGUUAAAAUGAAAAAAAAAGAAAAUCUACAAUUUGAACGGGUGUCAUGAUGAGAAGCUACACCACGGGUAGGGCUGAGUGACAGUCAUGUAUUGACCUCUCUAAUGCCAGCAGGCACUGCAUUUUUUUCUCUUCAAAUCUCUCUCACUCUCUGAAAAUUUUUGGGGUUUGUUGUAGAUGUCAGUUUGAAUGGAUUUGCUUGGCCUUUUCUUAUAAUGGUACUCUACUGUCACAGACUCUCUCUCUCUCUCUCUCUCUCUACCCUCAGAGCCUCUCUCUCUCUCUUUCCUUCACUGUGGGGAGCAGUAGUGGUUUGAAUAAGUAGAUUCAGAUUUGAACUUUAAUCUUUGAAGAUUUUACAUGGUGUAAGAUCAACCCUCAAGCUCUCAAAAAGGUUGAAAAUUUUAAGACAAAAAGAAACAAUACAAAAUACAUCAUAGCUAUGGGUUAAUAGUGUAAACAGGUACCUCCGUCUUUACUUCCCAUUUAUCUUCUCCCCCUCUUGAUGCAAAAAACCCAAAAACCCUCUCCUCCUGCAAAACUACAAACCAUACAUGGCAACAUCAAACACCACUUAAGAGCGUUGUUUAAGAGCCCUAGAUCAUUUUUAAGGUAACCCCAUUAAUUACCCCUUUCCUAAAUUAGCAAUAAUCUCAUUGAGGUUUGACUGGUUUGAACACCACAGUAACACAUCCAUCAAAUCAAAUCCACCCUCCAUAAAGGACCCAUUACACCAUUUUUCCCUCCCCUCUCUCUCUCUGAUCUCUCUCUCUCUAGGUCUAGGGGAAUGCUGCAUGCAUUUUGGUGAUGGCUGGACAAGGAGGAAAUGGUACUAGCAGUGUGAUCAUGAGGGACUACAGGAAAGGGAACUGGACAGUGGGGGAGACAAUGAUUCUGAUAGAGGCAAAGAAGAUGGAUGAUGAGAGAAGAAUGAAGAGAAGUGGGGGUGGGGAAGGGGGUAGUAGUAGUAGUGGAGGAACUGAUCAGACAACAAGAUCAAUGGGCAAACCAGCUGAGCUCAGGUGGAAGUGGGUGGAGGACUACUGUUGGAAAAAAGGUUGUUUGAGAAGCCAAAACCAGUGCAAUGACAAGUGGGACAAUCUCAUGAGGGAUUACAAGAAAGUGAGAGAAUAUGAGAGGAAGAUUACUAAUGUGGGAGAAGGGAAAGGAGAAGAAGGUAGUGCAUCUUAUUGGAAGCUUGAGAAGAAUGAGAGGAAGGAGAGGAACUUGCCUACAAAUAUGGUGCUUCAGAUUUAUGAGGCUUUGGUGGAUGUAGUGGAGAGGAGAGAAGCCUGGUGGUGGUGGUGGUUAUCAGAUUAGAGGUCAUCAGGUGGUGGGAGGAGCUUCUGUUUCUGGUUCAAAUGUUGGGAUUAGUCCAAAUAUUGGGUAUGGUUUGGAGAGGCCUAUAAUUAGUACCACUGGUGUUCAUCAGCAGCCUUCUUCUUCACUGCCUCCUCCUCCUCCUCCUCCUCCAGUUCUGCAACAUCAUCAUCAAAUCUCAGUUCCAACAAUUGCAGCAUUGCCGCUUCUUCCACCAGCUACACUGGCAGCCCAACCACCACCUGCUUUCCAAUACGCACAGGUGAUGCCCACAAUUCUGAUACAAGUGAGCAUUCAGACUCACCAGCUAAAAGGAGGAGGCGGGCAAGUGGAAGAGGUGGAGGUGGUGGCUGGUGGAGAUCAAGGAGGAACCAGUGGAACCGUGAGCGCAAGCACCUCAAGUGAAGUGGGAACUGCCAUCGCUGGAGGUGCUUCCUUGAUUGCAGAAGCACUUCAGAGCUGUGAGGAGAGAGAAGAGAGGAGGCACAGAGAGAUGUUGAGUUUGCAUGAGAGAAGGCUACAGAUCGAGGAAACUAAGACUGAGAUCAACAGGCAAGGCAUUAAUGGCCUCAUUGAUGCCAUUAACAAGCUUGCAAAUUCCAUCCAUGCCUUGGCUUCCAACAAGAACCAACAGCCACCUCCAAAUUGAUUAAAUUAAUUAGUGAUCAUCAUCAUCUUAAUUAAUUUACAUUAAUAUUUUCUAUUUAUUUAUAUGACCAUAAGAUAGAAAAAGAGAGAGGUAGAGAUUUCAUUGAUCUCAUUUGGUGAUUGUACAUAAUUUAUAAACCCCUUAAUUUGUCAUAUUUUCCUUUUGACUAGAUAAACCCCAUUUGUGUUUUGAGUUUCAUGUUAUUGGAUUCACUUACUAACGAU
This is an RNA transcript of Pyrus x bretschneideri (Chinese white pear), 2304 nucleotides long. RefSeq lists it as uncharacterized. The record is from RefSeq and is a predicted model, not a curated record. NCBI's taxonomy places the organism in Eukaryota, Viridiplantae, Streptophyta, Magnoliopsida, Rosales, Rosaceae. The transcript has 2 exons.